Molecule: long non-coding RNA, 405 nt
Filed under: Triticum aestivum (bread wheat)
Lineage: Eukaryota; Viridiplantae; Streptophyta; Magnoliopsida; Poales; Poaceae
Description: long non-coding RNA (TAES_LNC024783)
Source: RNAcentral
UCGCCGAACGACAUGACCUGGGACGUGUUCGCCUUUCCGGUAAGGUUGGACGUGCUCACGUUUCCGGCGAGGUUGGACGUGCUCACGUCUUGGAGGUGGCGGUCUCCGUCGUGGGACAUCUCAUCGAUCUCGUCCAUCGUCUCCGACAGGUGGCGGUCUCCGUCGUGGGACAUCUCAUCGAUCUGGUCCAUCGUCUCCGACAGGUGGCGGUCUCCGUUGUGGGACAUCUCAUCGAUCUGGUCCAUCGUCUCCGACAGGUGGCGGUCUCCGCUGUGGGACAUCUCGUCGAUCUGGUCCAUCGUCUCCGACAGGUGGCGGUCUCCGUCGUGGGACAUCUCAGUGAUCUCGUCCAUCGUCUCUGACAGGAGGCGCCGGCUCGCGUCUCUCACGACUGCGAUCUCAUCC